This 641-nucleotide long non-coding RNA is filed under the name Vigna radiata. RNAcentral's name for it is "long non-coding RNA (VRAD_LNC008178)". Lineage: Eukaryota; Viridiplantae; Streptophyta; Magnoliopsida; Fabales; Fabaceae. The record is from RNAcentral.
CGAGAGUCAAAAGUUGUGUUUAGCGAUAUUAUGCUUGUUUUGCAUUGUUUUGUAGCAUUUUUUAUGAAAGUGAAGAAUGGAAUUGAAGAUGAAGGUCUUAGACUCAAGAAAGACGAAGAAAAAUGAGAAAAGAAGAGUCUAGGAACCGUCAGCGCCAAAAUCCACUGCUGGGCGGCCAAAUAAAAGGAGAAGCCACUGUCUGGCACCCAGGCGACGACGUUAGGUGGUUUUGCGACAAGGGGCAAACCGCCGGGCGGUGGAACUCACCGUCGGGCGGUAGCGCGACUAUGGACAAACCAUCGAGCGGUAUAAGUGUGAUGCCGGACGGUUGUCUGCUCGGCUUGGGCCUUUUUUAUGUGACGCUCCUCAACUAUAAAUAACCUUAUUGCGACUUCAAAAUCAUUCUUUUGACAAAAGAGGGCGGCCAGACCUAAUUUUCACUCCUUGGAGAAGAUCUCUUGGAUGCUUAGGCUCCUUUUUAUCCUAUCUAGGGUUUGUUCUUCCAUUCUUCCAUCAUUUUUCAUCUAGUUUCACCAUGACAAUGGUGAACUAAACCCUUUUGUUGUUGGGGGAAACAAUGUAAUCUUUGGAAACUAUCUUUUAUUGAAACUCUUGUUAUUUAUAUGCUUGUCGUAUGCUUU